This 465-nucleotide ribosomal RNA is filed under the name uncultured bacterium. RNAcentral's name for it is "partial 16S ribosomal RNA". It matches the Rfam family "Bacterial small subunit ribosomal RNA", at positions 339 to 795 of the family's 1533-position model. The record is from RNAcentral.
CUACGGGGUGCAGCAGUGGGGAAUAUUGGACAAUGGGGGAAACCCUGAUCCAGCAAUGCCGCGUGUGUGAAGAAGGCCUGCGGGUUGUAAAGCACUUUCGGUUGGGAGGACUGCUUCUAGCACUAAUAUUGUUGGAAGUUGACGUUACCUUCAGAAGAAGCACCGGCUAACUCCGUGCCAGCAGCCGCGGUACGACGGAGGGUGCAAGCGUUAAUCGGAAUUACUGGGCGUAAAGCGCGCGUAGGCGGCUAGAUCAGUCGGGUGUGAAAGCCCCGGGCUUAACCUGGGAACUGCAUCCGAUACUGUCUAGCUUGAGUACAGGAGAGGAGAGUGGAAUUCCACAUGUAGCGGUGAAAUGCGUAGAUAUGUGGAGGAACACCAAUGGCGAAGGCAGCUCUCUGGCCUGAUACUGACGCUGAGGUGCGAAAGCGUGGGGAGCAAACAGGAUUAGAUACCCCCGUAGUC